Molecule: long non-coding RNA, 804 nt
Organism: Pan paniscus (pygmy chimpanzee)
Lineage: Eukaryota; Metazoa; Chordata; Mammalia; Primates; Hominidae
Source: Ensembl
CUCAUAGUUAAGCCAAAUAUUACUUCUUAAAUCAUUUGCUUUCUCUCUCUAUCCUAAGUAAUCCCAGAACUCCAGAAUGAUUGCAAUCACUUGGAAAAUAGGACCUACAUAACGGAUAACUCCAACAUUAAAAAGAUGCCAGAAGUAGUUGAUCUUUGAGUUAGGGGACAUGGUAGCUGCUGAUUCAACUAUCAUUGAACCUCCUUAUUGAAGAAUGACAUUGCCAAGAUAGCACCAAGUCUCAGAAUCUGAAAACUUAAUACAGUGAUUUCUAAUUCAGCUAGUCAUCAAAAUCACCUGCAGAACUUUACAAAAAUUUAAAUCAUCCUGCCCAGAGAUUCUAUUCAACAAGUUUUGGAGCAAACCCGGAAACUGAAUUUUGAAAUGUUCCCAGAUAAUUCUGUCGAUCAGCCAAGUCUGGGAAUCUCCAGCUGAAAUGCCAAGGACUUGGUCCAUCUGCAGGCUCAUCUCAUGACUACAGCCUAGCCAAGUACUGGCUCCUGAACUCAGAGAAGAUAAGGAGAGGAUCAUGCUGGCGUGAGCACUGACCACAGAGGGAACGAGAUAGCAGAAAUACCCUUUCCCUGUGGUGACAGGAUGGAAACUGCCAAUCUCUCUGCAGGCGCCCCUCUGGCUGGUAGGAGGCACCAGAACACACUGCAUGCUCCAGUGUGUGAUAUGCUGCUGUUUCUUAAAAGCCUGUGUGAGAGACUUUGGCCUCCUUCCCUGCUUUAAUUGAUUGAUCUCAUCGUGAGGAAGAACUCGGUGACUACAGACCAAAGACUCCUUCACUGGGUAGGAAAG